AGAGUUUGAUCCUGGCUCAGAACGAACGCUGGCGGCGUGGAUAAGACAUGCAAGUCGAGCGCUGAUUUCAGGGUAGCAAUAUUCUGAGGUCGGAGCGGCGCAAGGGUGCGUAACACGUGGGUAAUCUGCCAUGAAGUUCGGGAUAACUUGCUGAAAGGCGAGCUAAUACCGGAUGUGACAACUGGGAGGCAUCUUCUGGUUGUUAAAGUUGGGGACCGUAAGGCCUGACGCUUCUUGAUGAACCCGCGGCCUAUCAGCUAGUUGGUGAGGUAACGGCCCACCAAGGCUAAGACGGGUAGCUGGUCUGAGAGGACGACCAGCCACACUGGAACUGAGACACGGUCCAGACACCUACGGGUGGCAGCAGUCGAGAAUUUUUCACAAUGGGCGCAAGCCUGAUGGAGCGACGCCGCGUGGGGGAUGAAUGGCUUCGGCCCGUAAACCCCUGUCAUUCGCGAUCAAACGUUAUUAUUUAAAAGAUGAUGACCUGAUAGUAGCGGAAGAGGAAGGGACGGCUAACUCUGUGCCAGCAGCCGCGGUAAUACAGAGGUCCCAAGCGUUGUUCGGAUUCACUGGGCGUAAAGGGUGCGUAGGUGGUGAGGUAAGUCGGAUGUGAAAUCUCGGAGCUCAACUCCGAAAUGGCAUUGGAAACUACCUUGCUCGAGGGUUGGAGGGGGGACUGGAAUACUUGGUGUAGCAGUGAAAUGCGUAGAUAUCAAGUGGAACACCAGUGGCGAAAGGCGAGUCCCUGGACAACUCCUGACACUGAGGCACGAAAGCUAGGGGAGCAAACAGGAUUAGAUACCCUGGUAGUCCUAGCCGUAAACGGUGCACGUUUGCUGUAAAAGGAAUCGACCCCUUUGUGGCGGAGCCAACGCGUUAAACGUGCCGCUGGAGUACGGUCGCAGAUAAACUCAAGAAAUUGACGGGGCCUGCACAAGCGGUGGAGUUUGUGGCUCAAUUCGAUG
RNAcentral lists this ribosomal RNA (968 nucleotides) under uncultured bacterium. RNAcentral describes it as "bacterial SSU rRNA". It matches the Rfam family "Bacterial small subunit ribosomal RNA", at positions 8 to 956 of the family's 1533-position model. The record is from RNAcentral.